GUAGUCCACGCCGUAAACGAUGUCGACUAGCCGUUGGGCUCCUUGAGAGCUUUGUGGCGCAGUUAACGCGAUAAGUCGACCGCCUGGGGAGUACGGCCGCAAGGUUAAAACUCAAAUGAAUUGACGGGGGCCCGCACAAGCGGUGGAGCAUGUGGUUUAAUUCGAUGCAACGCGAAGAACCUUACCUACCCUUGACAUCGUGCGAACUUUCCAGAGAUGGAUUGGUGCCUUCGGGAGCGCACAGACAGGUGCUGCAUGGCUGUCGUCAGCUCGUGUUGUGAAAUGUUGGGUUAAGUCCCGUAACGAGCGCAACCCUUGUCCUUAUUUGCCAGCGAGUCAUGUCGGGAACUCUAAGGAGACUGCCGGUGACAAACCGGAGGAAGGUGGGGACGACGUCAAGUCAUCAUGGCCCUUACGGGUAGGGCUACACACGUGCUACAAUGGCCGGUACAAAGGGUUGCGAAGCCGCGAGGUGGAGCUAAUCCCGAAAAGCUGGUCUCAGUCCGGAUCGGAGUCUGCAACUCGACUCCGUGAAGUCGGAAUCGCUAGUAAUCGUGAAUCAGAAUGUCACGGUGAAUACGUUCCCGGGCCUUGUACACACCGCCCGUC
RNAcentral lists this ribosomal RNA (609 nucleotides) under uncultured bacterium. RNAcentral describes it as "bacterial SSU rRNA". It matches the Rfam family "Bacterial small subunit ribosomal RNA", at positions 790 to 1398 of the family's 1533-position model. The record is from RNAcentral.